CGGCGCGUCUUAAGCAUGCAAGUCGAACGGCAAGAGGUAGCAAUACCUCCUAGAGUGGCGGACUGGUGAGUAACACGUGGGUGACAUACCCUUCAGAUGGGGAUAGCUAUUAGAAAUAGUAGAUAAUACCGAAUACGAGCACAGGGGUUAGAGAUCUGUGAGGAAAGGAGCUAAGGCUCCGCUGAAGGAAUGGCCUGCGGCCCAUUAGCUAGUUGGUGAGGUAAGAGCCCACCAAGGCGAUGAUGGGUAUCCGGCCUUAGAGGGUGAACGGACACAUUGGGACUGAGAUACGGCCCAGACUCCUACGGGAGGCAGCAGCUAAGAAUAUUCCGCAAUGGACGAAAGUCUGACGGAGCGACGCCGCGUGGAUGAAGAAGGCCGGAAGGUUGUAAAAUCCUUUUGAAACUGAAGAAUAAGCGUUGUAGGGAAUGACAGCGUGGUGACAGUAGGUUUUGAAUAAGCAACGGCUAAUUACGUGCCAGCCGCAGC
This 489-nucleotide ribosomal RNA is filed under the name uncultured bacterium. RNAcentral describes it as "bacterial SSU rRNA". It matches the Rfam family "Bacterial small subunit ribosomal RNA", at positions 40 to 518 of the family's 1533-position model. The record is from RNAcentral.